AGUGAACGCUGGCGGUAGGCCUAACACAUGCAAGACGAACGGCAGCACAGUAAGAGCUUGCUCUUACGGGUGGCGAGUGGCGGACGGGUGAGGAAUACAUCGGAAUCUACUUUUUCGUGGGGGAUAACGUAGGGAAGCUUACGCUAAUACCGCAUACGACCUACGGGUGAAAGCAGGGGAUCUUCGGACCUUGCGCGAUUGAAUGAGCCGAUGUCGGAUUAGCUAGUUGGCGGGGUAAAGGCCCACCCAGGCGACGAUCCGUAGCUGGUCUGAGAGGAUGAUCAGCCACACUGGAACUGAGACACGGUCCAGACUCCUACGGGAGGCAGCAGUGGGGAAUAUUGGACAAUGGGCGCAAGCCUGAUCCAGCCAUACCGCGUGGGUGAAGAAGGCCUUCGGGUUGUAAAGCCCUUUUGUUGGGAAAGAAAAGCAGCAGGUUAAUACCCCGCUGUUCUGACGGUACCCAAAGAAUAAGCACCGGCUAACUUCGUG
Molecule: ribosomal RNA, 492 nt
Filed under: uncultured bacterium
Lineage: Bacteria
Description: partial 16S ribosomal RNA
Rfam family: Bacterial small subunit ribosomal RNA
Source: RNAcentral